UAACUAGUUCAGAUAAAACAUUGAUUCUAUUUUCUUUAUUUUCGUGGAAUGAUCUGAUGUGUGAAAUAGUUUUGCUCAGUUUGAGAAGAAGUAAAGCUUGACUCCGUGCGCCUUGCCAGGACAGGCACAUCCAAACCUACAGCAGAUGCCUGCCACAUUGACAUGAAGAGGAAUUAAUGGGACAAGGAAUCAAAAAGUUGAAAAAAUGUUUGGAGCUGUCUUAAAAGCCACAUCAGUGCAUGGGUCCCUCAUCACUGGAAGCCAUGGAGGACCUAAACUCUGUGACUGUGG
Long non-coding RNA from Sinocyclocheilus grahami, 291 nucleotides. RefSeq lists it as uncharacterized. The record is from RefSeq and is a predicted model, not a curated record. The transcript has 3 exons. NCBI's taxonomy places the organism in Eukaryota, Metazoa, Chordata, Actinopteri, Cypriniformes, Cyprinidae.